RNAcentral lists this ribosomal RNA (328 nucleotides) under uncultured fungus. Its description in RNAcentral is "eukaryotic LSU rRNA". The stretch from base 1 to 71 matches the Rfam family "5.8S ribosomal RNA", at positions 84 to 154 of the family's 154-position model. Lineage: Eukaryota; Fungi. The record is from RNAcentral.
GUGAAUCAUCGAGUCUUUGAACGCACCUUGCGCUCCUUGGUAUUCCGAGGAGCAUGCCUGUUUGAGUGUCAUUAAAUUCUCAACUAUACAAGUUUUUAUUAACCUGUAUGGCUUGGAUCAUGGGAUUUGCGGGCUUCCUGAGUCAGCUAUCCUUAAAUGCAUUAGCAGAGCUUUUGCCGCUAAUCUAUGGUGUGAUAAUUAUCUACUGCCAUUGAGAAGUGACAUGUUGAGGCUUCGCUUCUAAUCGUCUUCACAGACAACAUUUGACAAUCUGACCUCAAAUCAGGUAGGAUUACCCGCUGAACUUAAGCAUAUCAAUAAGCGGAGG